GCUCGAGUCUUUCGGUUUCCGAUUUUAUUGGAUAUAGAAUUUUGUGCUAAACCUUACCCACUGUUUGGUUCCCGGGAAAAUGGUUGGAAAAUGUAUAACAAAUGAGCCCCGCAUUGGUAAAGUUGCUUGCUUCGGUGUGAAUUUGUUACUUGUGAAGUGGACGGUUUAGAUUGGUGACUGGUUUGAAUCGGACGGUUGUAGAAAUUUGGAUUCUUUUCCGAUGAUUAUUAGUUAUUUUUCUGAGAAAUCGAGGUUGUUUUUUUAGCUGUGGUUGUACGGUUUGAAGCAUUUGCCUGGAUUCAUUGAGAAAGCAGAGGAACUUAAAUCAAAGGGCGUUGAGAAAAUUCUCUGCCUUAGCGUAGUUGGUCUCGCAAUCACUCUCCCGUUGUCGCUAUGCAUUGCUGGUUUAUUGCUGUUACUCGAUGGGGUGCUGUCACAGAGGCUACUAAUGAGCUCACGAAUGAUAGCUUUUGAAUGAUCCCUUUGUGAUGAAGGCUUGGGCGAAAACAUACCCCGAGAACAAAGAUGUUCUUUUCCUUGCUGAUGGCUCAGCAAAAUACACCCAUGAUCUCGGCCUUGAGCUAGACCUUCCAGAGAAAGGGCUGGGAACUCGUUCUAAGAGGUUUGCUCUCUUGAUCGAAGACCUCAAGGUGAAGGCUGCAAAUAUCGAGAGUGGGGGCGAAUUUACCAUCUCCAGCGCCGAUGACAUCCUCAAGGCUCUUUGAAUAUUUACAUUCCUUCACCCCAAGCUUGCUGCCCCUUGUAUCUGAGAUUUGUGCCUCCCUUUCUUCAAAUUCUCACUUUUGUCAAAAUUCCAAAUUUAAUUCUCACAUCUCAACGUAAGGAGUUAUUUUGUGAUAUGCGAGGGACACUAUUGAAAUGAUAAUAAAUGACAUUUUGUGAUACCGGGA
Molecule: non-coding RNA, 911 nt
Organism: Malus domestica (apple)
Lineage: Eukaryota; Viridiplantae; Streptophyta; Magnoliopsida; Rosales; Rosaceae
Source: RefSeq, a predicted model, not a curated record